CUCAGUUCAGAUUGCAGGCUGCAACCCGCCUGCAUGAAGUCGGAAUUGCUAGUAAUCGUGGAUCAGCAUGCCACGGUGAAUACGUUCCCGGGUCUUGUACACACCGCCCGUCACACCAUGGGAGCCGGUAAUACCCGAAGUCAGUAGUCUAACCGCAAGGAGGACGCUGCCGAAGGUAGGAUUGGCGACUGGGGUGAAGUCGUAACAAGGUAAC
Molecule: ribosomal RNA, 214 nt
Filed under: uncultured bacterium
Lineage: Bacteria
Description: partial 16S ribosomal RNA
Rfam family: Bacterial small subunit ribosomal RNA
Source: RNAcentral